Meleagris gallopavo (turkey) is the source of this 7406-nucleotide non-coding RNA. The record is from RefSeq and is a predicted model, not a curated record. NCBI's taxonomy places the organism in Eukaryota, Metazoa, Chordata, Aves, Galliformes, Phasianidae.
GGGAGGGCAGCUGAUGAGCAGUCGGUGCUGCACUGCUGUUUAACUUGAACGAUGAAAUUCUGCUAUGUGACAGGAGCUGCCUUGGUGGAGUACAGCUUUAAAAAUUAAUAAAGACUUUUCUCACAGCCACAUUAUGCGGCGUUCUAUAUAGACUAUGAUCUCAUAACCUCCUCCUCCAGCUUCACACGCGCCGGCUGCUGAAACCCAAGAUGAGGGCUUUUUUUUUUUUCAUUUAGAGAGCACUCCCCAGUCUUCAUAGAGGCACAACUGCAGAGCUAAUCAAAAUCAAUGACUUCUUGGCUGCUGUAAAAAAAAAAACAACAAAGAGAGGAGAGGAGCGAGUGGAAGAGAGAGGAACUGUGCUGGUUUCCUUCCCAUCAGUAGCAGCUCACACAGCCGCUGCGAUGUGGCACAAAGGGCACUAGGGAGCAUACAGCAUGCUUUCUUGUCCAGUACAAACAUCAACCAGGUUGAGAGCAGAAAAGCCUGUCCGUGGUGAGUUCAGACUGAGGAACGUGAGCCAGUCCCUGUCAGGCUGUCACUGAGCGAAGGGGCUUUCCCAGGGUGUACCACAGUACUCAGCAACGCUACGCUUGCUGCAUCAAAAGGGACACUUAUGCCACCACAGACAAGGUGCAGAGGAGACAACGCUAGCAUUACAGCAGGGACAUCACUAAUCUUUUGACCAGACUGCAGGAGCACAAAUGCUCAUACCACCAUCAUCUACAAGGAAUGUUGCUUACGUUCUCAACAAGGCAUGCACGUUUUAACGUAUGCAUACAGGAGGGUUUACAUUCUUCUAUAUAUAAGCAUGUAUGUGUCUCUGUUUUGUGGCUGGGCCCUUGAACAGCUCCUUCAGUGCAAAUCCUUCCUCACGUUGCCCAAAGCACUUCCAACAUCUUCCACUUCUUUCUUUAUCUCCACUCUUCACAGCUGCUGCUCAGGCUCUGGAUUCCCUGUAGGAAGAGGGGAAACAAUUUUCUCCAAGGGCACAGGGUUUUCUCCAGCCUAAGAAAGCAAAAGAAUCGUGUUUGGUUUUAAUUAUAUUGAUGCAUUGCUUACAAUAAAAGCUUCCUUAAAAUUUAUGCUUGAACCCUCCUGCUAAAUUUACCGACUGGAAGAGGUAUAUAAUUUAUGGGGAAGAUGGUUUUGUGGUUCAACACAAGAGGAGACGCCGUUAUCCCUGUGCUGUGCAGGGCUUGUGCUGUGCUCCCACUUUGUGAGGCCUCCUUUGGAUGCUCCAUCUCCUCUUACACCAUGCUAACAAAAGUGUGAACUUUUAGGGAAGCCAUUCAUUUUGCUACAGGUUGGCAGUGGGGUGCACUGCGCAUCACGAGAGACUGGCAGAACUCACUCACUCCUGGUUCUGCCACUGAUUAGAUUUGUGGCCUCGGGCAAACCACCUCCUCCAGCUGCUGCUGGAAAAUGAGGGCAGUAAUAACUUAUUUGCCUCACAGGUGGGCUGCGAGCCUUAAUUAAUAAAGUGCUCAGAGGAAGGCACCCAUCUAAGUGCAAAUUAGCAGGAGAGGUGCCCAAGGGGCAUCUGCUCUGACAUUGCCAUUUCCCACACCGAUACCCAGGUCUGGCGGUGCCAGCCUUCCAUGGGGCGUCCCAGCAUUCAGGCUGCAGAUCCCACAGCAAGGAGCGAUCCUACAGCAACCUCAGUGGAGAAAUCUCUGCUGGCCUUCAAGAUGAGGUGAUUUCACCCGGGCGGGAGGAGGGAGGGGGAGCAGCUGACUCUGCAAUUGCAUCGCCUAUGAAGUCAGAGUGUAAUUAGGACUGCAAACAGCUUUGGGGAGCAUUCGGAUCGCAUUACUCCGGUGUAAACCCAGACUCGCUUCCCUGCCUCCUGUGGUUCUGCUCUGCUUGUGCUGCUGCCGAGGUUACGGCGGUCCAGCAGCACUGCCCCUCGGAUUACCGGAGGUGGACGGGAGGAUGGAAGGCACUGCCCGCAGCCCCGGUCGGCCUCGUGCCAUUGCUGCCUGCUGCUCCAUCCCACCUGCUGCCGGCUGCCCAGCCGCUGCAUGCGCGGGAUGCAGCAAGCACAGCCUCCCCCUCUCUGUUUAUGGCUUUUGCUAUCGAGUUUCGAGGAAUCCAAAGCAACGGCACAAACAGCUCGGAGGACUGAAGCCACAAUGCAUCAUCGAGACCUGAAGCACAUUUCACCUGUCCUGCUGUGAUCGGUGCUACCAGCGAGACACAGUUUCUACAGCUUCCCUGUCUCCACGUACACAGGCACACACAGCUCAAGUGCCUCCAGCCUGAGGAACGUCCCAAGGAGGGGAUUCCCAGCUCCUGCACUUCUCACACACACACUGUCUUUAUAACACACCAUGUCCACUGAUGGGAAGGCACAGCACAGCCGGAGAGGCUUUAGGGUCCUGAGCCCUCUGGUUGCAAGCCAGCAACGUCAGUGCUUACACACACAGAGAUUUACUCGAUUACCUUUAAGUAAAGCCUUCAGGAUUUCAUUCAACAGUUUCUUCCAAGCAAAAGCACUCAGUUUGUAUUUACUGUUUCUCCUGGAGCAGCACUCCCAAACACCAGCCCUGAUCCCUUGCCCUACUCUGCCCUCCCCGGCCCAAUACAGAUCCUCUGCGGUGUCAUAUUUUACAGACUGCCUCUCUGUGUCACUUAACAUACAGAAAAUCUUUAAAAACCCGUAAAAGUUGAUAAAUCCUACAACAUCCUGAACUCCGGGUGAUAAAUCUGCUGUGGGGAGCGGGCAGGGAGCUCAGCUCGAUGUCCACACGUCUCAGGAGCUCAGUCUUUUAGAGAUUAAAUGACUCUUUGGUUUUGCAUCAGCCUCGUGUUGGCCUUCUGCAGAAAGGUGAAUUUCAUAGAAAGAAUAAAAGAGAGUCCCAGAAUCCUGGCCUUCAGCCCAUCCGCCUAUAAAACAACUCUGAAUACCCUGGGCUGUGUGAAAGCCAUUUCUGGGUGCACGCUGGCUGCAGCGCCAGUAUCUGACUCAUUAAUGGAAUAUACUUGGAGCCAAAUUCUGAUCUCACUUGCAGCACUGUAAAUCCAGGGCAACCCAUUUGACUUCAGUGGAGUUACUCCAAAUUUCCCACAAUAGCUCUCAGCAGAUAGAUCAAAUUUGGUACUUUGGGUCUGAAAAAGGCUCCAAAAAGCCAAACUGCAUCCUGCUUGCAAUAGUGGGGUGGAUGGUAAGUUGACAGGAGUGCCAGCAGUCCCUCUGUAGUGCUGCUGAAAAUGUGUUUAUUUUAUGUGCCUCUCCUGUGAUGUCAAAACUUUCUGGCAGGAUUGUCCACUGUUGCCAAUUUCCUUUUUCAUUAAGAAGGAAGGAAUUCUAACUGACUUCCUUUAAGCCAAAUACAGUGUCUACUGAAAACAUGGACUGAAAAAGUGAUAAAGCAAAAAAAAUCAUUUUGCUUUGAACUUUUCCACGAGAGCCAACGUUCCCUUUGGUGACACAUCCCUCCCCUCCUGGGCACGUGGGGAGAUGCAGGACCCGCUCAGAACGCCUCUGUGCUCGUUUUGUCUGUUAAGCAGUCAGGCUGAGAGACAACAGAUCACAUUGGCUGAUAUUUGCAAAUCAAUCUCAGCCAGCCCAAGCACAUCCCAUUGCUUUUGUAGACCCAGACAUCCACACUUCUGAUCCUGGAACUCUCCCGCCUUAAAUCCUGCAGUUUUCUUGCAGACUGCUAAGCUGCUGUUCAGCUGAAAAAAGAAAGCUGCGUGGGACAGGCAUGAGCUGACCCAGGUGUGGGGUCCCUGCUCUGAUCUCAGCACUUCUUUAGCUCAUCUUUAUUCAGCAACAGGACACCAGGCCAUGGUUGGGUACCACCUGUGCAAAGCCCUGGGAAAAGCUGAGCCCGGGCCCCUCUAGCAGUUGGCAGAAGGAGCUCUGCUCACAGCUCACACAGCAGCACGUAACUUCUUGAUCUAAAUGGAUUACAAUUCAACUGGCACGUGUUCCACUCCUAAUAAACAAAAUAACUGUUAUUAAUACAUUUAAAGAAAGAAUGGUAUCCGAGGGCUCAGAGAGCUUAAGGUAGGAACAAAACAAGGCACUCCUGCUUCCUCCCUCACGCAGCAGAAGGUUAAUGAGAAAACAAGGACUAGGCAAGAGCCCCGUCAAAUUCCCAAGCAGCCCGCAUCCAUGUGCACUCACACUUCAUUAGCAUCUCUGUGGGAGACAGAAGGGUACCUUGCAAGGCAAAAAAAACCUAUUAGGAGGGGCUCGAGGGGUAAGGUGGAAAAAGAGUGGAUCUACAGGAGAGGAAAUGGGAAGGAUGAUGUGUAUGGGAGAGCUCACCACGGGAAGAGUGGGUAAAGAAGUGCACAGGGGCUCAAACCUCCCCAAACAGGACCAGCCCACCUGGCCACCGCUUGCCUGAGGAAAGAUGCAUUUCUGAACAGCUGCUUAUUUCUGACAGCUCUGCUGCCUGUUCAUCAUGGAAUUUAAUGCUGAAGGUUUCCCUUGCACACUUUGACGCUGGGGAUUGGUGGGGUCGGUGCGUGCGGUGCAGCCAGCAGCAAGAGCAGGCUCCUGCCUUCCAGGAGGGGAUUGAGAGCCUCUGUGCCACAGCCCUGCAGACAUCUGUCCUCCUGCAGAGCUGCAGCGCUGCUGCGACCCUCAGCCCACCUGUGUCAGCAGCACUGCCUCUGGGCCUUUGUCUUCUCUGCACUCCUGCACCGCUCUGUGUGACAUCUCCAGAAAUCUUAUCAACCCCAUUUUAACACAGAUAAUUAACUGCAUUGAGACUUUGGACAGAGUGGCUCUGCAUGAACCUAGCAGCAAACAGCGGGGGAACUGCUGGCAGCACGGCGGGCACAGCACCAGGCUGCUGGAGCUGGCAGGGACAAGCAGGGUUCGAUUUUAAUACACUGCCACUUCUGAACUAAUAGAGCGAAACACAAGUGACAUUGUAUGCCAAACUGGCACUGACAACUACACUUCAUGCCCUGGCUGGAUAUUUCAAGGUGAUGUCAGAUUAUAGAUUAUCAAACUGCCAUUUACAAAGCCUUCAUCUCCACAUCCCAAGCACAAUCUACAGAGACAAAACGUCGGCCACAUGCAGCGGGCCCCAUCCUCCCUCCUCCGCCAUCACCUGCGGCUGGGAGCAGAAGUUCCCUGGCACAAGGGACUCUGUCCUGAGCUGCACCGCCACAUCCAGCCCCGAGGAACAGCUUCCAGCCCUGCUCCCAACCCUAAAGGACAGCUCCCAAGACCAUACAAGUUGCUCUCGUCUUAGGAGCUGUACUAUGCAAGACCACAAGUGCUCAGAGCCCAGGCUUCCCAUCCUGUUAGAGAAUGAAGUUACUGGCACUCGGGAGCGUCUCUGAGGAUGGCAGAAAGAUACCUGUGGUGCUCACACCUAACCCAACUGCACUCUUGGCUCUGAGACAUUGCAGACAAUCAGCUGAUCUCAUCGUGUGAGCAAAGUGCUACUCAAGAAGAAGAACAAACAGAUUAGUGGCAGAAGUAGCACGGGAACUGAGAGGUAGAGGACGCAUUUAUCACUCUGGAGUUGCACACUGCAGCUCAGCCACACGAUGCCAACAGUCAGACAGGGCUGCACCAUGCACAGGGCCACACAGAGACUUUCCCAGCUCUUACUGCCCCACACUUAGCUCCUCUGUCCUCCUCGAGCACGCUGUGCUGAGGGUAACGCUUCACUUUUCUGCUGCGUCUUCCUCAAAGCCACCUUAAGCACCUGGGUUUUGCUGGGCCUGGUGUGCACACAGCUGGUGGGGGUGAGGGCUGUGCAGGGCUGACAAGAGAAGAGAUCAGGAAAAAAAUCCACAUGGCCAAUGGCAUGCAUACCUGCAUGGAAACCUGAAAUCCAACAGCCUCGGGCUCCUUCCCACCCACCCCUGCUCCGCACCGGGCAAGGGAAUUCCCUGAGCUGUAAGAGAGCAGCACACUUGGGAUUCCAGAUAACGGAGAGCACUGCACUUCCCCGCGGAUUCCAACUUUUCUUGAGCACAAACAGGCACACACACACCACACGGCUGGCUUCACUUCCAACUGCUGCAACCAGGCACAGCGAGGGGAUGGAAGGCAGCACCCAAGCCCGGCCCCACACGCUGACAGCAUUGCCCAGCUCUCUGAGGGCACUAUUCUGGAUCCUCACCCCCCUGCUCUGAUGGUCCCAUACAGAUGGAAGCUCUGAUUCACUCAAACAAAACACAGGGUUUGUUGCCAAAGAGAUCUUUGCAAGGCACCCAGCUGAGCCGCAGGCAGACUGAGCGGCGGGCAGCGGUGAGCCCUGCUGCACACACACCCCUGCUGAAGCCCCUGCUUUUCAACUCUCGAGGCAAGCACGCUUUUCCCCACACUGAACAUCUGUGUUCAAUCGUACCCCACUACACCUCACAAGCACCAGCAGCACCGCUCCUGCCUGUGCAGGACCGCCCGUGGCUGCACGCAGCCCAGGCAGGCACUGUCAGAGGUCAGCUGCAGCAUUAGUGGCAUUUUUCAUCUGCUUUAUUUAAGGGUCUUGUCUAAAUCCUAUCCGAGCUGCAUGGCACUGGUAGCGUUCACUUCUCAUAGAAUCACGGGGUCAUUAAGGUUGGAAAAGACCUCUAAGAUUCCCAAGUCCAACCCCAGCCCACUCCCACUGUGCCCACUGACCAUGUCCCCCAGUCUCACUUCUCCACCUUCCUGAACACCCCAGGAGAUGGUGACCCCAGUGCUCCCUGGGCAACCUGUGCCACUGCAUCACUGCUCUUUUGGAGAAGAAAUAUCUCCUAAUACCCAACCUGAACACAUUUUUAAUUUAAAGCACCUGAAAAAGGAUUUACAGCUCCUACGUCUGCGGGGAGAGGUUUCUGUCCCAAAGCAGAGCACUCAAAUCCCUGAGAUGACCCCACAAGACCCUGCACUCCGAGGUGCUCAGUGCACGUCCCCGCUGUCUGUGAAACAAACACCCUCUUCCUGCACUCUGCUCCCCACCAGUGCCCGGCGGUGCUGGGGCGGAGGCGUAGGGCUGUCCCAGCCAGCUCAAGGAUGUUAUUGGGGCAGCAGCAAGGUUAUGGGAGCAGCUGUCCCCCACUGCCCUGCUGCCGGUCUGCGCAGUACUGGGGAGGUUCCGGGAACCUUCACCAACUGCACCUGAAUGUUUUUGUUUCCCUGGUGUGGGACCUCUGCCUUGGGCAGAGCAUGACCCAAUGCACGGAGCCGGGCACAGCCAGGCUGAGAUCCGCGCUGUGCCUCCGGGGUGAUGUCCUACGGCACCAGCUGAUGCGGGACGCGGGGGAGAGCUGUGGGUCCUACGUUCCUUGGGCUGGAGCGAUGCGGGGCUGGGAGGAGGAGACAGGAGCGGGAAAGUUUGGGGAGGGAGAAAGGGGGAAUUAGGGAAAGGGCAAAGGGGGAAUCGGGGAAGGGGGAAUUAGGGAAGAGAGGACGGGAGAUCGCUGCCGUCACCGACUCCCCGCAG